RNAcentral lists this transfer RNA (76 nucleotides) under Dehalococcoidia bacterium. RNAcentral describes it as "tRNA-Met". It matches the Rfam family "tRNA". Rfam says of the family: Transfer RNA (tRNA) molecules are approximately 80 nucleotides in length. Lineage: Bacteria; Bacillati; Chloroflexota; Dehalococcoidia. The record is from RNAcentral.
GGCAGGGUAGCUCAAACGGUAGAGCAGCGGACUCAUAAGCCGCCGGUUGUGGGUUCAAGUCCCACCCCUGCCACCA